GAUGGCUCUGCUAUCACUUAUAGAUGGACCUGCGCCGUAUUAGCUAGUUGGUAAGGUAACGGCUUACCAAGGCAACGAUACGUAGCCGACCUGAGAGGGUGAUCGGCCACACUGGAACUGAGACACGGUCCAGACUCCUACGGGAGGCAGCAGUAGGGAAUCUUCCGCAAUGGGCGAAAGCCUGACGGAGCAACGCCGCGUGAGUGAUGAAGGUCUUCGGAUCGUAAAACUCUGUUAUUAGGGAAGAACAAACGUGUAAGUAACUGUGCACGUCUUGACGGUACCUAAUCAGAAAGCCACGGCUAACUACGUGCCAGCAGCCGCGGUAAUACGUAGGUGGCAAGCGUUAUCCGGAAUUAUUGGGCGUAAAGCGCGCGUAGGCGGUUUUUUAAGUCUGAUGUGAAAGCCCACGGCUCAACCGUGGAGGGUCAUUGGAAACUGGAAAACUUGAGUGCAGAAGAGGAAAGUGGAAUUCCAUGUGUAGCGGUGAAAUGCGCAGAGAUAUGGAGGAACACCAGUGGCGAAGGCGACUUUCUGGUCUGUAACUGACGCUGAUGUGCGAAAGCGUGGGGAUCAAACAGGAUUAGAUACCCUGGUAGUCCACGCCGUAAACGA
This 615-nucleotide ribosomal RNA is filed under the name Staphylococcus hominis. RNAcentral's name for it is "bacterial SSU rRNA". It matches the Rfam family "Bacterial small subunit ribosomal RNA", at positions 202 to 809 of the family's 1533-position model. The record is from RNAcentral. Lineage: Bacteria; Bacillati; Bacillota; Bacilli; Caryophanales; Staphylococcaceae.